RNAcentral lists this ribosomal RNA (90 nucleotides) under Bifidobacterium bifidum. RNAcentral also lists the same sequence under 1 other name. The record is from RNAcentral. Lineage: Bacteria; Bacillati; Actinomycetota; Actinomycetes; Bifidobacteriales; Bifidobacteriaceae.
CCCGGUCCCAUUCCGAACCCGGAAGCUAAGGCCUGGCACGGCGAUGGUACUGCACCCGACAGGGUGUGGGAGAGUAGCACGCCGCCGCAC